UACGUACCGUGCAAACGUUAUUCGGAAUCACUGGGCGUAAAGGGCGCGUAGGCGGCCAUUCAAGUCAGGGGUGAAAGCCUGUGGCUCAACCACAGAAUUGCCUUUGAUACUGUUUGGCUAGAGACCGGAAGAGGUAAGUGGAACUGCGAGUGUAGAGGUGAAAUUCGUAGAUAUUCGCAAGAACACCAGUGGCGAAGGCGGCUUACUGGUCCGGUUCUGACGCUGAGGCGCGAAAGCGUGGGGAGCAAACAGG
RNAcentral lists this ribosomal RNA (253 nucleotides) under uncultured bacterium. RNAcentral describes it as "partial 16S ribosomal RNA". It matches the Rfam family "Bacterial small subunit ribosomal RNA", at positions 524 to 776 of the family's 1533-position model. The record is from RNAcentral.